UUUAGGUCCAAAGGCCUCCAGUGCUGCUGUACAAACCUCUUCUGCAGCAGCCAAUGACCCUCAUCUGUCUGUCUCACAAUCACUUAAAGGUAACACUUAUACUACCAACUCUCUAUCUGUCCAUCCAUAAAUUCAUAUAUCCUCUCAUCCAUAUAUUCUCCCCCCAUUCUUCCAUACAUCCUCCCUAGACCUGUCUAUCUAAUCUGUCUGUCUGUCUGUCUGUCCAUUCAUCAUCCAGUCUGCAAGUUUCUGUCUUUCUAAUCUGUCAUUUUACACUUUCUUUAGGUCCAAAAGACUCCAGUGCUGCUGUACAACCUCUUCUGCAGCAGCCAAUGUCACUCAUCUGUCUGUCUCACAAUCACUUAAAGGUCCAAAAGACUCCAGUGCUGCUGUACAACCUCUUCUGCAGCAGAAAAUGACCCUCAUCUGUCUGUCUCACAAACAAAAAAAUAUCGGUACAAGAUUAAAGACUGUCCUGUGCAUUUACUCAAAGAACACUUUCCAUUUGUAAAAACCAUGGGAACGAGAAAAGCAAAAAAUGGAAUAAACAAACAAAGGUUUUGCUGGCAGCCUUGCUCUGGCUGUGGAGUAAAGUGGAAGGACACAUGGGAGCUUCAUUCGGAUGAAUAAAGUAAUGGUUUUUUUUUCAAAAGCUUACUGCACUAAACCCUUAAAUGUAUGUUAACCAUUAAUAUUUUAUAUUGUUUUAUGUUUUUCUAUACAGACAUUUGAAAACAUUUAACUAUGUUGAUUGAUCUGUGUAUCUAUUGGCCAUGUACAGUUAUUUUUAUCUUGACUGCUCCCUCUUAUAGUAUUUGUUAAUUUGUCCCCCCGCUCUGUUCUCUGUUACCCUUUUGUUUUCCUAUGUUUUAUCCUCUGUCUGUUUUCCUCCUCUGUGGUUCCCU
Misgurnus anguillicaudatus (oriental weatherfish) is the source of this 905-nucleotide non-coding RNA. The record is from RefSeq and is a predicted model, not a curated record. Lineage: Eukaryota; Metazoa; Chordata; Actinopteri; Cypriniformes; Cobitidae.